GAUGAACGCUGGCGGCGUGCCUAAUACAUGCAAGUCGAGCGAACAGACGAGGAGCUUGCUCCUCUGACGUUAGCGGCGGACGGGUGAGUAACACGUGGAUAACCUACCUAUAAGACUGGGAUAACUUCGGGAAACCGGAGCUAAUACCGGAGAAUAUAUUGAACCGCAUGGUUCAAUAGUGAAAGACGGUUUUGCUGUCACUUAUAGAUGGAUCCGCGCCGCAUUAGCUAGUUGGUAAGGUAACGGCUUACCAAGGCAACGAUGCGUAGCCGACCUGAGAGGGUGACCGGCCACACUGGAACUGAGACAAGGUCCAGACUCCUACGGGAGGCAGCAGUCGGGAAUCUUCCGCAAUGGGCGAAAGCCUGACGGAGCCACGCCGCGUGAGUGAUGAAGGUCUUCGGAUCGUAAAACUCUGUUAUUAGGGAAGAACAAAUGUGUAAGUAACUAUGCACGUCUUGACGGUACCUAAUCAGAAAGCCACGGCUAACUACGUG
Molecule: ribosomal RNA, 497 nt
Filed under: uncultured bacterium
Lineage: Bacteria
Description: partial 16S ribosomal RNA
Rfam family: Bacterial small subunit ribosomal RNA
Source: RNAcentral